CGCGACAUGUGGUGUGCAGUUUUGAAAUCCUCAUCUGAUGAGCUCGGUUGUGGAAAGGGCCGAUACGAGAGACGAUCAGAUGCCGGUGGGCCGUGGUGUCAGUGUAGGGGGGAAACUUGAUGUUGCUAUCCCUGUGAGCUUUUGUGAUGUGAUUGUCUCUUGUUUCAGCUGUCGUCGUCUCCCUAUACGAAGAUCCAAUCCAACCUCAGCAGGCAGCGUCUGUAGUGGAAAAGCUAGGGGAUUACUUAGUGUCCUGUGGAUACUAGAGAUAAUAUAUAGGACUGUUCUCCUGUGGUGAUAAAAGCAAAACGUCAGAAUUUUUUUUUAUUUUCUUGAAACAGCGAACAGUAAUGUGCAUCAUGGUUCCGGCUAAAAUGAUUCAGUUUGGGUUAAAACUCAUCUGGUGUAAUCUUGAACUGCAUUUUUUUUUCCUUAUUCUCAAUACCUUGUGCCCGGAUAUUUGUGACAAGCCGCGCUUGAGUGAAUGUCUGAAUUGAGGCAUUGAGCAUUUCAUGAGCUCCUCAAUCUUUUGAAUAGCCAGUUUCUCCAAGGUGCAUCUUGAAGCUCUCUUUACUCGUAUGGCAGUUUUCACUCGUUCAUCAGCUAGUAAAGGAGCCAAGGUGUGCGUUGAAGAAUUUUCAUGGACAUGAAAUUAACCAGUUUUGUAGCUGAUCCUAGUAUGCCCAUUGCAUUUGAUACUGAGUCAUUAGGAUUUUUAUAAUCUCUAGUCCUGCUCUUUCUACCCCUUCAUCCUCUUACCUAUCCCCCUUGCUGUGUGAAAAUUUCAUUGCCAGAUUUAAGACGAAAUCUGAUCCUGCUUAUAAGACCUGCUGUAUUCAUUCUCUGUCAGUGUAAAAGAAAAUUUGUCGAUCAAUUGAAAUGCUUGGGUGCAAAAUAUUGGAGUUGGGACGCAGCUGGUGUUUCCAUACCACUGCAUGCGCUAUGAUGUGAUGUAAUUUUUAUAAUGGUUUGCAGACUUUAAAUAAUGAAUUGUAAGAAGAAAAUAAAGUUUAAUUCUAAGCUACGUUUAGUUCUAUGUUGCAGAAGGAUUCUGUGAUGAAUUUAAUUCUUACUACGGUCUAAUUUAAACAGUGAUUAGCUUUGUAAACGCGGAAAAAAAUUCUAACGAUAAAAACAGUUGUCUAGCCGAGGUAAAUUUGUAUAAAGUGUGACGUAAUUUUUUGGUUGAGUGGCUGAUAUUAUUGCCUGUUGGGAUCUUCAUAGUUCCCAAUACAAAUUAUGGGGGACAUUAAUAAGCUUAUUCUUGCAACUUCUUCUUCUUUUUCCCGGUAAAGCGAUAGGACGUAGCAGUUUCUUUUACCACGUUACGUCGUUUCAUGCCGCCCUUCUCUUCCCUUCCCUUCUAAUUUCUUCAAUUCCUUAAUUAAAUCAGUGGAUGUAGAUGGAACUGCCUUGUCUUGAUAUUCCUCGCAACCAAUAUUGUGCGACAGUCAAGACUAGAGCAAAUGUGUGCCAAUUGUACAACAAUUUGAUGGGUUUAUAUGUUUUGUACUACUUGUUUGAUUGCUGUAUUCCAGUUUUUGCACAAUUAUUCAAAAAGUUUAAGAAAAACAAGAUGUACUGUUCCCCCUUUAGGGCCCCCAAUAAAAUUUAUGAAAUGAAUUGUACAUUUUUGUUCAGAUGUUUGUGUUGUUACUUGGAGUGGCUCACCACGUCAGGUCCCUUGGGAGCUUCGUCACAGAGGUGUAGGUCGUUGCGUCGAAGUAGUGUGAAUUGUAUAUAUAAAUAGAGGAAUCCAUACAGAAUGUAUCAGAGUUGUAAAUUGUGUCUGAAUUCAUUUCGGCUUUUAAUAUUUCUCGUGGGUUUAAUGAAUGUGUGGACAUGCUGCACCUUCAGGCUCGAUGGGCUCGUUGACGAUGAGGCGUUUUGAUGACCUUGAGGUCAGUUGUGUUUUUUGUGCAAACUUGUGUCAAAUACCUUGGGCAGUUUCAUGGUUCGUGCUGACCUAUGUCAUGUUCCACACGAACUGCAAGCUACUGUACAUCAUUUUUUGGUUCUGAGUAUGUGCUGAAGAACUUUUGUUGUUGAAGAUAACCUGAAAUCACUCUCAUGAGAAACUACAGCUAUUAAUUAUAUCUUGUAUAUGCAAUUAAUGUUAACUACAUCAUGGCAGUGCUUUGCAGAUGUGGGCAUUUCCUUUUUACAGCGCUAAUCUAAUAUCUAAUGUGUGUAACUGCCCAAAGGAAUGUUUGUUUGCGACGUAUCUCAUAGGUCGUUAUGGAAGAGUCUGCCCAUCCCUUGGUUGAAGGAAAUGUUUCCAUGUCACGCAAAUGUGGAAUGUGAAUCAAAGUUUAUGGUACAUUAUCUAGUGACUGAGAAAUUGGCAGAAUCACGAGUGGCUACCUUGUGCUUAUUCACUGUUGUAUACCUUGUUUUAGUGAGUCUAUAAAUAGCAGUUCCAUUUGAUUUUUAUAAGAUGCCAUAUUUAUUUAAGUAGAAACCAUAGAUGACACAUAUUUUUCCUAAUUGGUUUUGGCACAAUUUAACAUUUUUCUAAUGAUUGUAUUUUGUAUAAAAUACACAAAUAAUCACAAGUGAACAUUUUAGCUUUCUAAUUCAUAUAAAACCUAGAAAUGCUGUGGUCUAAUAGCAUUUUGUUCCUAAAAUGUGCAGGUAUAACAGCAAAUGCAUAUUCUGGAAGAAGGAAAAUAAAUGUUAAUUAAUAUACUUC
This is a non-coding RNA of Zootermopsis nevadensis, 2692 nucleotides long. NCBI's taxonomy places the organism in Eukaryota, Metazoa, Arthropoda, Insecta, Blattodea, Termopsidae. The record is from RefSeq and is a predicted model, not a curated record.